GAAUGGGAAAGCAACGGCCAUCUAACAAUUGCCCCUUUUUAUUAAAGUCCAAAUACAUUCAUAAUAAUACUUAAUAACAUUGCAGCAUCUCCAAGGAAAGGUAAGCAUCAAGUUGUAGUGGGUAUUUGAUUAUUUAGUUGGUAGCAAGGUAAGCAUCAAGUCCCAAUGAGAGCUUAGAAACAAAGUCCAGGUAAGCUUCCGGGGUAGGGAUGUUCUCGUCUGCCUUCUCGAACUCGAUCGUCCACUUCACGGUGGCGCUGCCGCUUUCUCCAUUGGGGGAGGCUUGGAACUUGGCUCUGAAAAAGUUGUAGUGGCUUAGUAUAUCUCCUUCAACAGCUUCGUAU
This 344-nucleotide long non-coding RNA is filed under the name Cucumis sativus (cucumber). RNAcentral's name for it is "long non-coding RNA (CSAT_LNC001050)". The record is from RNAcentral. Lineage: Eukaryota; Viridiplantae; Streptophyta; Magnoliopsida; Cucurbitales; Cucurbitaceae.